This 253-nucleotide long non-coding RNA is filed under the name Salvia miltiorrhiza (redroot sage). RNAcentral's name for it is "long non-coding RNA (SMIL_LNC012923)". The record is from RNAcentral. Lineage: Eukaryota; Viridiplantae; Streptophyta; Magnoliopsida; Lamiales; Lamiaceae.
CAAGGAGCCGAUUCCUCCUUCUCUCUCAAACCAGUCGAGACUUCUCUCCCUCUUCUUCAAAAAUCAAUCGCGGUCUCUCUCAAAAUCAGUCGAGACUUCAGCCGCCGCCUCUUCUCCGACCGGCGUCCAACCUCACCGCCGUUCUCUCUCCUCAGCGCAAAGUCCCCAAAAUCGUGCCCUAGUUUCUCUCAAUUCAGAAAUCACCACCUCAGCUCUCCCUCUCGAGUCUCGAUCAGUCGCUAGAGCGCACGGA